UCACAGAUGCUCAGGUCCACAUAGGGGUUCCUUCUUCUGACAAGGUCCGCAGCAGCCUUACUCAAGAGCAUUUUUGUAUUCCCAGGACAAAGCAGAAUUCCGAGCACCCUCCAGGGCAUUUAAAUGUGGCCAGGCCUCACCUCAGUGCCUAGAGGACACCGCUUACCUUACCCUGGUCCAUCUGGCCAUUGGAGAAGUCCAGGACUGCAUUUCCCAGGAGGCCGUAGGGCCAAGUAUGCUGCAGGGUGAGUCGUCAAAGCCUGAGAACCGCACUGGGAGCAUUGUCAACGAAAAACUGCACCAGGCAAGUUAAACAGGUAAGGAAGAUUUUAUUAGAUUGUCGCAGUGGAGAAGAGAGACUGAACUCAACUCAAUAUAUAACAGUAGCUGGGAUUUAUAUCCAAGGGGCAGGGUGAGGGAGUCAGUGGAUAGCAAAUUACUAAGAGGAGCUUGGUGAAAUAUCAAAAGCAGUGGGAUUCUUGCUGAACUAGGGUCAGCAGGUCAAGGACGAGACCCAGUCAAGAGGAGAACUCAGAGGAGCCUGACUCCAGUUUGGUCGACGGAAUCCUAGUCAGCUGACACUCGCGGAAGCCCCCGGUGCGCUGCUCAGCGGGAAGACACAGUUUUGGCUCUGCUUUGCUUGCACAGAGGCUUCCAGAGUGGAGUAAAGAAUGGCUGUUGAACAUCCACAAGGCUCCUGCAAGGGAUUUGUGCUAUUCAGGGAUGUGUCUAUAGACUUUUCUCAGGAAGAAUGGGAAUGCCUGGACUCAACUCAAAGGAAUUUGUACAAAUAUGUAAUGUUGGAGAAUUAUAGCAACCUGGUCUCAAUCGGUAAGUAUACCUUUCUUCAAAAAGUCUAG
Molecule: long non-coding RNA, 860 nt
Filed under: Zalophus californianus (California sea lion)
Lineage: Eukaryota; Metazoa; Chordata; Mammalia; Carnivora; Otariidae
Description: lncRNA (ENSZCAG00015017826.1)
Source: RNAcentral